AUAUUUAUACCGCUGAAUCAAUUUGAACGGGAGAACCAAUUUUUGGGGUGAAUCUUGCCAAUAAGAGCAAGUAGGGUUAUUCUUCAACCCGAAUCCGUCAGCUAAUCUCGUAAGCGUUGGAGAGAAGUUUU
This 131-nucleotide small RNA is filed under the name Clostridium carboxidivorans. Its description in RNAcentral is "c-di-AMP sequence". It matches the Rfam family "c-di-AMP riboswitch aptamer (ydaO/yuaA leader)". From Rfam's summary of the family: This family represents a conserved RNA structure found upstream of the ydaO and yuaA genes in Bacillus subtilis and related genes in other bacteria. The ydaO/yuaA element is thought to act as a genetic "off" switch for the ydaO and yuaA genes in its native state. The record is from RNAcentral. Lineage: Bacteria; Bacillati; Bacillota; Clostridia; Eubacteriales; Clostridiaceae. RNAcentral also lists the same sequence under 1 other name.